Molecule: unclassified non-coding RNA, 377 nt
Filed under: soil metagenome
Description: partial contains 5.8S ribosomal RNA, internal transcribed spacer 2, and large subunit ribosomal RNA
Rfam family: 5.8S ribosomal RNA (bases 1-120)
Source: RNAcentral
GAUGAAGAACGCAGCUAAAUGCGAUAAGUAAUGUGAAUUGCAGAAUUCAGUGAAUCAUCGAAUCUUUGAACGCACCUUGCACCCUUUGGCAUUCCGAAGGGUAUGCUCGUUUGAGUGUCAUUGUACUCUCACACUUCCGAUCUUUGGAUUGGGAGCGGUGGACUUGGGUGUUGCUGCUUACUGUGGCUCACCUCAAAUCGAUUCGUGCACCUCUUGGUUGGACAUAGUACGGCGUGAUAAGUGUCUUCGCCGGCACCUCAGUAGAGGGUGGCUGAUCGGGAGCUCUGCUUCAAACCGUCCUCGGACAACAACUGACAACUUGACCUCAAAUCGAGUAGGACUACCCGCUGAACUUAAGCAUAUCAAUAAGCGGAGGA